UACGUAGGUGGCGAGCGUUGUUCGGAUUUAUUGGGCGUAAAGGGUCUGUAGGAGGUUUGUUAAAUUCGAGGUGAAAUCCCGUGGCUCAACCACGGAACUGCCUUGGAGACUGAUAGACUAGGGUGCUGGAGAGGUAAACGGAAUACCAAGUGUAGCGGUGGAAUGCGUAGAUAUUUGGUAGAACACCAAGAGCGAAGGCAGUUUACUGGACAGUAACCGACUCUGAGAGACGAAAGCGUGGGGAGCAAACAGG
RNAcentral lists this ribosomal RNA (253 nucleotides) under uncultured bacterium. RNAcentral's name for it is "partial 16S ribosomal RNA". It matches the Rfam family "Bacterial small subunit ribosomal RNA", at positions 524 to 776 of the family's 1533-position model. The record is from RNAcentral.